Molecule: ribosomal RNA, 253 nt
Filed under: uncultured bacterium
Lineage: Bacteria
Description: partial 16S ribosomal RNA
Rfam family: Bacterial small subunit ribosomal RNA
Source: RNAcentral
UACAGAGGGUGCGAGCGUUAAUCGGAAUUACUGGGCGUAAAGCGUGCGUAGACGGUAAUGUAAGUCAGAUGUGAAAGCCCCGGGCUCAACCUGGGAAUUGCAUUUGAGACUGCAUUGCUUGAGUGCGGAAGAGGGAAGCGGAAUUUCCGGUGUAGCGGUGAAAUGCGUAGAUAUCGGAAGGAACACCAGUGGCGAAAGCGGCUUCCUGGUCCGACACCGACGUUCAGGCACGAAAGCGUGGGGAGCAAACAGG